RNAcentral lists this ribosomal RNA (253 nucleotides) under uncultured bacterium. Its description in RNAcentral is "partial 16S ribosomal RNA". It matches the Rfam family "Bacterial small subunit ribosomal RNA", at positions 524 to 776 of the family's 1533-position model. The record is from RNAcentral.
GAAGGCGGGUCAAAGCGAUAUUCGGAAUCAUUGGGCGUAAAGAGCGUGUAGGCGGCCGGUCAAGUCAGAGGUGAAAGACCAGGGCUCAACCCUGGAAGGGCCUUUGAAUCUGGUCGGCUUGAGUGCGGGAGAGGGAAGUGGGAUUCCUGGUGUAGAGGUGAAAUUCGUAGAUAUCAGGAGGAACACCGGUGGAGAAGGCGACUUCUUGGCCCGACUCUGACGCUGAGAUGCGAAAUCGUGGGGAGCAGACAGG